This 440-nucleotide ribosomal RNA is filed under the name uncultured bacterium. RNAcentral's name for it is "bacterial SSU rRNA". It matches the Rfam family "Bacterial small subunit ribosomal RNA", at positions 959 to 1397 of the family's 1533-position model. The record is from RNAcentral.
ACGCGUGGAACCUUACCAGGUCUUGACAUCCCAUUGACCGCUAUGGAGACAUAGCUUUCCCUUUUAGGGACAGUGGUGACAGGUGGUGCAUGGUUGUCGUCAGCUCGUGUCGUGAGAUGUUGGGUUAAGUCCCGCAACGAGCGCAACCCUUGUUCUUAGUUGCCAUCAUUUAGUUGGGCACUCUAAGGAGACUGCCGGUGACAAACCGGAGGAAGGUGGGGAUGACGUCAAAUCAUCAUGCCCCUUAUGACCUGGGCUACACACGUGCUACAAUGGAUGGUACAAAGGGCAGCAAAGCGGUGACGCCUAGCAAAUCCCAUAAAACCAUUCUCAGUUCGGAUUGUAGGCUGCAACUCGCCUACAUGAAGCUGGAAUCGCUAGUAAUCGCGGAUCAGCAUGCCGCGGUGAAUACGUUCCCGGGCCUUGCACACACCGCCCGU